Molecule: small nuclear RNA, 104 nt
Organism: Lutra lutra (Eurasian river otter)
Lineage: Eukaryota; Metazoa; Chordata; Mammalia; Carnivora; Mustelidae
Source: RefSeq, a predicted model, not a curated record
GUGCUCACUUGGGCAGCACAUAUACUAAAACUGGAACAAUACAGAGAUUAACAUGGCCCCUGCACAAGGAUGGCACACAAAUUCAUGAAGCGUUCUGUAUUUUU